AUACGGAGGGUGCAAGCGUUACUGGGAAUCACUGGGCGUAAAGCGCGCGCGGGCGGCCCGAUAAGUUGGAUGUGAAAGCCUACGGCUCAACCGUAGAACUGCAUCCAAAACUGUCGGGCUAGAGUCUGGGAGGGGAAGAUGGAAUUAGUUGUGUAGGGGUAAAAUCCGUAGAGAUAACUAGGAAUACCAAAAGCGAAGGCGAUCUUCUGGAACAGUACUGACGCUGAGGCGCGAAAGCGUGGGGAGCAAACAGGAUUAGAAACCCCAGUAGUCC
This 274-nucleotide ribosomal RNA is filed under the name uncultured bacterium. RNAcentral describes it as "partial 16S ribosomal RNA". It matches the Rfam family "Bacterial small subunit ribosomal RNA", at positions 523 to 796 of the family's 1533-position model. The record is from RNAcentral.